This 691-nucleotide long non-coding RNA is filed under the name Pan paniscus (pygmy chimpanzee). RNAcentral's name for it is "lncRNA (ENSPPAG00000044462.1)". The record is from RNAcentral. Lineage: Eukaryota; Metazoa; Chordata; Mammalia; Primates; Hominidae.
AUUCAUAGUGAAGAAUCUAUUCUUAUCCUCCCUUUUCAGAUUUACGUUUUGGAGAUUGAAUGAAAAUUAUCCUGACUUGAGUUCCUACCACAUAUCUACCCCUACAAAUUAAACAACAUUAUCUGAAGGCUUCUUCUCAGAAUAAUCACUGUGUUGACACCAACCAGGAGCUGCUGGCCAUUGGCACUUCCUUCUCAGCCAUCACCCGUUCCUGGGAAGUGAGAUGCUCCCCUCUGUUAUGCGUGAGGAAGAUGUGUCCUUUUCGUCUUUGUCCUGACUAGAAGUCUGCCUUUCCUGACCCCACAUCCCGUCCUCAGCUGUGAACUGUCCAUGUGAACUGUCUGAGGGCUGACCUUCCCUCAGAAGAUCAGCCACAGCAGCAUGGACUGAUGUCAUCCUGCUGUCCUCCAGGGUGUCCUCUGGUUUCUUUGCACUCAUAGACAGGACUGCAGUUUAAUACUCAAAAGUUCACCGGGCGCAGUGUGUUCACACCUGUAAUCCCAGCACUUUGGGAGGCCGAGGCGGGAGGAUCACUUGAGGUCAGGAGUUCAAGACUAAACUGACCAACAUGGUGAAACCCUGUCUCUACUAAAAAUACAAAAAACUUAGCCGGACAUGGUGGCACGAGCCUGUAAUCCAAAAAGCACUNAGUACGNUNAGNUGAGACUUCNCUNUACACGAGCUANCGUAG